This is a long non-coding RNA of Mustela erminea (ermine), 328 nucleotides long. RefSeq lists it as uncharacterized. The record is from RefSeq and is a predicted model, not a curated record. The transcript has 4 exons. Lineage: Eukaryota; Metazoa; Chordata; Mammalia; Carnivora; Mustelidae.
UCUUUGGCCUCUGGAUAUACUUUCAGGCUAGACCUACCCAGGAAACCUCUAUAACUUAAAGUCAAUUGAUUUGAGACUUUUUCAUCUUCAAAAUUCAUUCCAGCAACACCUUGAUUCGUGUUUGAUUGAAUAAUUGCGAGAAGACAUGUACACCAGGGUUUAAGAAUCUUAAGGAGCUAUAUGGCUCUGAAGGACUGUUAUGAAGAGAAUUCUUCCUAGUAACAGAGCUAAAAAGUUUGUUGAUUUGUCUUCUGCCCCUCCUACAAGAGAAUUGGAAUAUUUUAAACCAAAGAAUCAAGCUGUAGAAGUUUGAAUACUUCAUUCAGUA